AAAAUAAUAUAUUUGGACAAUACACUAAAGAAAUUGGUACCAAAUUAAUAAUAUUUUUGUCUUGGUAUUCCAACUAACUAACUAAAUAAGCCUAUAAAAGAAAGAGAUUCCCGCUUUCUAAUUUUAGCGAGUGGGUGGAUGCAUGUUCUCCAUUCCAUUAGCUCCUUAGCUUCUGAGCCAUAGAAAAUAGUCAAAUUGAUAAAAGAAAAAUGUGCUUCCUCAGAGCCCAAAUAUAUCUGUCCUCAAAAUUGGUUUGUUUUGGGAAUAUUUGUUUGCUCAAUAUGAGUGGGAGGGCGUGAAAGAACAUAUUUUUUGCAUUGAUGAGUUUGAGCCUGGGAAGAGAAACCUUACAAUAGAAUAGAAUAGAAGAGAGAAGAGAAAUCUUACAAUAGAAGAGAAGAGAAGAGAAUCGGAGGGUAAUGGAAGGAUUGGAUGGUUUGAUAGAUAGGCUUUUGGAAGUAAGGAAGAACAGGGGGAAACGGAUUCAACUGGUGGAGUCAGAAAUUCGGAACCUUUGCAGCACGGCCAAAGAUCUGUUUCUAAGCCAGCCAAACCUUCUGGAAUUGGAGGCUCCCAUAAACGUCUGUGGUGAGUUUAUUCAUUCAUGCAUUCACCUUCAUAUUGUUCGAGAUGCUCAUCUACAAUAAAUAAGACAUUCACAAAUUAAAAGAUAAUGUUAAAUGAGUUUAAAUAUUUUAUUAUCAAAAUAAAAUAUAUCAGUCUUAGCAUAUAGAAUAAGAUAUUGAUAUCCAAAAGUGAGUCAAGUUUAUAUUAGAUAGAAAUGGAAAAAUUGAAGAAGAUGAAUAUUAACUCAAUCUACAAAAUUGGAAUAGAGAUGUCUAAAAAACACAAAAUAUAGCUAGGAUAAUUAUGAUUCUGAUAUUAUAUUAAAAGUGGAUUUUAAGUCUGACUCAAUCCAAAAAACUGAUUUGUAAGGUGAGAUUUGCACCUCACUUGUAUAUUAUAAAUGGAUAUAAUCUCUAGUCGACAUGAAACUUCCAAAACACGUUCAGAUAUAGACAUUUCGUAAAUGAUAGUAGAAAUUGGAUGGUCCAAUAAGGAUUCCACAGUCAAUCCAAACAAAAAUACUUACUUAUAACUUACUAUAAUAGGAAAUGAUGAUAAUCU
RNAcentral lists this long non-coding RNA (1128 nucleotides) under Vigna radiata. Its description in RNAcentral is "long non-coding RNA (VRAD_LNC011330)". The record is from RNAcentral. Lineage: Eukaryota; Viridiplantae; Streptophyta; Magnoliopsida; Fabales; Fabaceae.